GGUGACCAUUACCAGCUUUGAAAAUUUCUUUGCCAAGCAUGAGCACCACGAGAAGACCAUAAUUGACAUCGGGGUCUUAAGGUACCCUGAUAUGCAAAACCCGUACUUCAAGGUGUACCGCAUCAAACUCUUUGUUUGGUCUGAUAGCAACCGUAUUGUGUUCCAUCAGGAGGAUUCCAAUGGCAUCAUUGGAGAGUUCACCUUCCGUAAGUUUAAGCCGCGCAAGGAGCUCAUUGACAAGAUGAACCCAGACGCCAAAAAGAAGGCUGUGGAAGCUGCAGAUAACAUCUUUGGUUUCUAAUAUCUAAAU
Long non-coding RNA from Selaginella moellendorffii, 310 nucleotides. RefSeq lists it as uncharacterized. The transcript has 3 exons. NCBI's taxonomy places the organism in Eukaryota, Viridiplantae, Streptophyta, Lycopodiopsida, Selaginellales, Selaginellaceae. The record is from RefSeq and is a predicted model, not a curated record.